This is a long non-coding RNA of Ipomoea nil (Japanese morning glory), 1641 nucleotides long. RefSeq lists it as uncharacterized. The transcript is spliced from 6 exons. The record is from RefSeq and is a predicted model, not a curated record. Lineage: Eukaryota; Viridiplantae; Streptophyta; Magnoliopsida; Solanales; Convolvulaceae.
UCACGGCAAAGGGUAUCUCUAUUUUCACUCCAGAAGGGUUUUAGUGUUUCACGGCAAAGGGUUUCCGCCCUUCACCACUGCCGUCCGCCGCAACCUCCAUAGGUCAGGAAAUCAGUAGCGACCUCCAUAGGUCAGGAAAUCAGCAGCAACCUCCAUAGGUACGUUGGGAAGGGAGGAAAUCGCAACUCCAACAGGUUAAUUUCUACUGAAGGGCUACUGAAGGUCAGCGACCACCGGGAAGGGUUUCUCUGGGUCAGGAAGUCAGCAGCAACCUCCAUAGUUACGCUGGGGAUGGAGGAAAUCGCAUCUUCCGUAGGUUAAUUUCUACCGAAGGUCAGCGACCGCCCGGAAGGGUUUCUCUGGGUCAGGAAAUCAGUAGCAACCUCCAUAGAGUGAACUUCCAUUGGUUCAAGCACUAGAUUUUGAGGUUGAGGCUGUUUAACUGUAGAUUUUGGUUCAGGUUUUGCCGGUGUAACUAUUUCUAUAGUUUCCUGAGAACACCUGCAUUGCAUUGAACUAUUCAACUUUGGGGAAUUUUCUAACCUCAUUCAUUCUCUUGAAGGCAGUAUACAGGUCUACAGAAAUAUCUGUGAUAAUACUGACUUCGUGUACUAGCAAAGCUGAAUCUGAUGGCUAUCAUACUGGGCUAACUUCAGUCUUUUAUCCAAGUUAGAAGCAUAAUUCCCAAAAGCAUCACCUUGUUGUGCAUCUUGUUGAUGCAAACUGAUAGCUGCCACAGUGCUGGCUAGUGCAAUUCUAGCCUACAGUAUCAAUGCUCAAUUAUGACAAUACUUUCCAGCAAUUACCUUGUUCUGCAAUUCUGUAUUCUCUUGACAAAUGAGAUUUAGGUUCUUACAGAGUUCCAUGUUUUAUUGAUGAACAAGACUUCCCUGCAUUGGACAAGAGUCUUAUAUUCAGCAUAAGCAUAAGUACAAUGUAGAAUGGAUCAUUCCGGUAUCUAUCCAACAACACCUUUCGGUUUAGUUCCUUGAUCUCAUAAAUUGGUGAAAUUAGAUAUCUGCCAAGUAGACAAGUACUUUACCUUUCUCGUUCGAAUACCUCUCAGGCUCACUUCAAAUUGAUUCUCCAGAUUUGUCAGAUCUUUGAUACUUAGUCCAAAAAGUUCUUUUCCCAAAAGCUGUCUGCAUUUAUGUGAAACAAAGAACUGAUGGCUCAAAUAGACGGUAGGAUGAAGUUUAGGAAAACGAACGUGGGUUUUGUUAAGUAUUUAUCAGCUAAACAAGAAUCUCCUAAACAUGAACAAGAAGAUGAUUCUACAGAAGAUCAAAGUAAUGUCAAAGAAUUCGUUGAUAUAACUUCAAUUCGGCAUUCAGUGAGGACAACUAAAAAACAUUCAAUGAAAUAGUCUCUAUCAUUGUCUCUCUUGUCCAUAUAUAUGACGAAGUGGAAGGAGUUUUUCCGCAAAAAAAAAAAAGACUUGAAGUACUCACCAUACUUUGACAGACGGUGUAUUUGCUAUCCUUCCUCUGAAGCUUUGUGAAGAUGUGAUUAUUUAGCAUCUAUAAUGCAUAGCCAAGAAUGUGGUGCAUUUAGAGAACUAUUUCUCCAAUUCCAUCUUGUUGGGUUGGUUGAAUUGUGAGUCUUUAGUCUUUACAAAUUGUAUGAAACAUUUCAUUUUAG